GAUGAAGAACGUAGUGAAAUGCGAUAAGUAAUGUGAAUUGUAGAAUUCAGUGAAUCAUCGAAUCUUUGAACGCACAUUGCGCCCGCCAGUAUUCUGGCGGGCAUGCCUGUCCGAGCGUCAUUUCAACCAUCAAGCCCCGGGCUUGUGUUGGGGACCUGCGUCCGACGCAGGCCCUGAAAACCAGUGGCGGGCUCGCUGUCCACACCGAGCGUAGUAACUAACCUCGCUAUGGAGUGGCGCGGGCGCCUGCCGUAAAACCCCCAAUUUUUACAAGGUUGACCUCGGAUCAGGUAGGAAUACCCGCUGAACUUAAGCAUAUCAAUAAGCGGAGGA
RNAcentral lists this unclassified non-coding RNA (333 nucleotides) under soil metagenome. Its description in RNAcentral is "partial contains 5.8S ribosomal RNA, internal transcribed spacer 2, and large subunit ribosomal RNA". The stretch from base 1 to 120 matches the Rfam family "5.8S ribosomal RNA", at positions 35 to 154 of the family's 154-position model. The record is from RNAcentral.